This 408-nucleotide ribosomal RNA is filed under the name uncultured bacterium. Its description in RNAcentral is "partial 16S ribosomal RNA". It matches the Rfam family "Bacterial small subunit ribosomal RNA", at positions 28 to 526 of the family's 1533-position model. The record is from RNAcentral.
GAUGAACGCUGGCGGCGUGCUUAACACAUGCAAGUCGAACGGAGUGGCGAACGGGUGAGUAACACGUGGGUGAUCUGCCCUGUACUUCGGGAUACGCUUGGGAAACUGGGUCUAAUACCGGAUAGUAUGGGAUGAGCUCGCGGCCUAUCAGCUUGUUGGUGGGGUAAUGGCCUACCAAGGCGUCGACGGGUAGCCGGCCUGAGAGGGUGUACGGCCACAUGGGGACUGAGGUUCCGCCCGGACUCCGGCGGGAGGAAGCAGUGGCGUAGAUUGCACUAUGGGCGCAAUCCGGAUGCAGCGACGCCGCGGGGGGGGUGAAGGCCUUCGGGUUGUAAACUCCUUUCUCUAGGGACGCGGUACCUGGAGAAGAAGCACCGGCUAACUACGUGCCAGCCGCCGCGGUAAUAC